UUAAGCGACUAAGCGUACACGGUGGAUGCCCUGGCAGUCAGAGGCGAUGAAGGACGUGCUAAUCUGCGAUAAGCGUCGGUAAGGUGAUAUGAACCGUUAUAACCGGCGAUUUCCGAAUGGGGAAACCCAGUGUGAUUCGUCACACUAUCAUUAACUGAAUCCAUAGGUUAAUGAGGCGAACCGGGGGAACUGAAACAUCUAAGUACCCCGAGGAAAGAAAUCAACCGAGAUUCCCCCAGUAGCGGCGAGCGAACGGGGAGGAGCCCAGAGCCUGAAUCAGUGUGUGUGUUAGUGGAAGCGUCUGGAAAGGCGCGCGAUACAGGGUGACAGCCCCGUACACAAAAAUGCACAUGCUGUGAGCUCGAUGAGUAGGGCGGGACACGUGGUAUCCUGUCUGAAUAUGGGGGACCAUCCUCCAAGGCUAAAUACUCCUGACUGACCGAUAGUGAACCAGUACCGUGAGGGAAAGGCGAAAAGAACCCCGGCGAGGGGAGUGAAAAAGAACCUGAAACCGUGUACGUACAAGCAGUGGGAGCACAGAGCAAUCUGUGUGACUGCGUACCUUUUGUAUAAUGGGUCAGCGACUUAUAUUCUGUAGCAAGGUUAACCGAAUAGGGGAGCCGAAGGGAAACCGAGUCUUAACUGGGCGUUAAGUUGCAGGGUAUAGACCCGAAACCCGGUGAUCUAGCCAUGGGCAGGUUGAAGGUUGGGUAACACUAACUGGAGGACCGAACCGACUAAUGUUGAAAAAUUAGCGGAUGACUUGUGGCUGGGGGUGAAAGGCCAAUCAAACCGGGAGAUAGCUGGUUCUCCCCGAAAGCUAUUUAGGUAGCGCCUCGUGAAUUCAUCUCCGGGGGUAGAGCACUGUUUCGGCAAGGGGGUCAUCCCGACUUACCAACCCGAUGCAAACUGCGAAUACCGGAGAAUGUUAUCACGGGAGACACACGGCGGGUGCUAACGUCCGUCGUGAAGAGGGAAACAACCCAGACCGCCAGCUAAGGUCCCAAAGUCAUGGUUAAGUGGGAAACGAUGUGGGAAGGCCCAGACAGCCAGGAUGUUGGCUUAGAAGCAGCCAUCAUUUAAAGAAAGCGUAAUAGCUCACUGGUCGAGUCGGCCUGCGCGGAAGAUGUAACGGGGCUAAACCAUGCACCGAAGCUGCGGCAGCGACACUGUGUGUUGUUGGGUAGGGGAGCGUUCUGUAAGCCUGUGAAGGUGUGCUGUGAGGCAUGCUGGAGGUAUCAGAAGUGCGAAUGCUGACAUAAGUAACGAUAAAGCGGGUGAAAAGCCCGCUCGCCGGAAGACCAAGGGUUCCUGUCCAACGUUAAUCGGGGCAGGGUGAGUCGACCCCUAAGGCGAGGCCGAAAGGCGUAGUCGAUGGGAAACAGGUUAAUAUUCCUGUACUUGGUGUUACUGCGAAGGGGGGACGGAGAAGGCUAUGUUGGCCGGGCGACGGUUGUCCCGGUUUAAGCGUGUAGGCUGGUUUUCCAGGCAAAUCCGGAAAAUCAAGGCUGAGGCGUGAUGACGAGGCACUACGGUGCUGAAGCAACAAAUGCCCUGCUUCCAGGAAAAGCCUCUAAGCAUCAGGUAACAUCAAAUCGUACCCCAAACCGACACAGGUGGUCAGGUAGAGAAUACCAAGGCGCUUGAGAGAACUCGGGUGAAGGAACUAGGCAAAAUGGUGCCGUAACUUCGGGAGAAGGCACGCUGAUAUGUAGGUGAAGUCCCUCGCGGAUGGAGCUGAAAUCAGUCGAAGAUACCAGCUGGCUGCAACUGUUUAUUAAAAACACAGCACUGUGCAAACACGAAAGUGGACGUAUACGGUGUGACGCCUGCCCGGUGCCGGAAGGUUAAUUGAUGGGGUCAGCGCAAGCGAAGCUCUUGAUCGAAGCCCCGGUAAACGGCGGCCGUAACUAUAACGGUCCUAAGGUAGCGAAAUUCCUUGUCGGGUAAGUUCCGACCUGCACGAAUGGCGUAAUGAUGGCCAGGCUGUGUCCACCCGAGACUCAGUGAAAUUGAACUCGCUGUGAAGAUGCAGUGUACCCGCGGCAAGACGGAAAGACCCCGUGAACCUUUACUAUAGCUUGACACUGAACAUUGAGCCUUGAUGUGUAGGAUAGGUGGGAGGCUUUGAAGUGUGGACGCCAGUCUGCAUGGAGCCGACCUUGAAAUACCACCCUUUAAUGUUUGAUGUUCUAACGUGGACCCGUGAUCCGGGUUGCGGACAGUGUCUGGUGGGUAGUUUGACUGGGGCGGUCUCCUCCUAAAGAGUAACGGAGGAGCACGAAGGUUGGCUAAUCCUGGUCGGACAUCAGGAGGUUAGUGCAAUGGCAUAAGCCAGCUUGACUGCGAGCGUGACGGCGCGAGCAGGUGCGAAAGCAGGUCAUAGUGAUCCGGUGGUUCUGAAUGGAAGGGCCAUCGCUCAACGGAUAAAAGGUACUCCGGGGAUAACAGGCUGAUACCGCCCAAGAGUUCAUAUCGACGGCGGUGUUUGGCACCUCGAUGUCGGCUCAUCACAUCCUGGGGCUGAAGUAGGUCCCAAGGGUAUGGCUGUUCGCCAUUUAAAGUGGUACGCGAGCUGGGUUUAGAACGUCGUGAGACAGUUCGGUCCCUAUCUGCCGUGGGCGCUGGAGAACUGAGGGGGGCUGCUCCUAGUACGAGAGGACCGGAGUGGACGCAUCACUGGUGUUCGGGUUGUCAUGCCAAUGGCACUGCCCGGUAGCUAAAUGCGGAAGAGAUAAGUGCUGAAAGCAUCUAAGCACGAAACUUGCCCCGAGAUGAGUUCUCCCUGACCCUUUAAGGGUCCUGAAGGAACGUUGAAGACGACGACGUUGAUAGGCCGGGUGUGUAAGCGCAGCGAUGCGUUGAGCUAACCGGUACUAAUGAACCGUGAGGCUUAACCUU
RNAcentral lists this ribosomal RNA (2901 nucleotides) under Escherichia coli DEC3B. RNAcentral describes it as "bacterial LSU rRNA". It matches the Rfam family "Bacterial large subunit ribosomal RNA". The record is from RNAcentral. Lineage: Bacteria; Pseudomonadati; Pseudomonadota; Gammaproteobacteria; Enterobacterales; Enterobacteriaceae.